AUGGUGACCAAGAAUCCACCAGGGAGGACAAUAGCUGCACGUCCAAGGCAGCCUGCAGGCUUUUCUGAAUAUGAGAAGGAAAGAGCUCAACAUAUUAUGAGGAACAACCAAAUAUUUCAAAGACUUGGGAUCGGUCAAUUGGCAUCACUACUUAAGAAUGUAAGUGCAAAUGUGGAGGAUGAUGGUCCUCAAAAAUCAGGAUCCGAGUACAGUCCACAUGACAAUGAGGGGCUUGAGGAUGAUGAUGAAGUGAUCAGCAAGAGUGUCAAAGUAUCUUCUCAAGGAACACGAGGAU
Molecule: long non-coding RNA, 295 nt
Organism: Panicum hallii
Lineage: Eukaryota; Viridiplantae; Streptophyta; Magnoliopsida; Poales; Poaceae
Exons: 3
Source: RefSeq, a predicted model, not a curated record